Molecule: long non-coding RNA, 3818 nt
Filed under: Nicotiana benthamiana
Lineage: Eukaryota; Viridiplantae; Streptophyta; Magnoliopsida; Solanales; Solanaceae
Description: long non-coding RNA (NBEN_LNC015761)
Source: RNAcentral
CCCGAUCCAAGAGAGAUCCAAAUAUUAUUGGGAAAUCUCACAUUUGUCAGGUGAUCUCUCUUCAUUUAUUUACUUGAAUGUCAUUUAUUGUUAUUUAUUAUUCUUUUUCUUAUUUCUAAGUCAUUCUUUACUCCAUUACUGAUAGUAUUAUUUAUUGCUACCGAUCAUUGAUGCUUGACAUAUUUUUCAGAAAUAUAUUUGUAUCAUUUGAAUAUUAUAUUGACUAAUAUUGAUUUUUUUUUACUAUAAAUAUAACUGUAUAAUUUAGAUCGAAAUUUUGAGUCAUAUAGUUAGAUCAAAGGGGGGAAAUGUCUGUCGUACAUUCUUAAGAAACAUCAGAAAAUUUUGCAAAGAAUAUUCAAGAUUUAAUAUAUAUAUAUAUUGAUAUGAGUGAUUUGUGAGGUAUCACGAGAGGCUGGUACAGUUUCUGAGAUAUUGCCCGAGGGGCAAACUUUGACGUGCUCAUUUUGCAUACUUACUUGUCUUUCACUUAUUAUAUUGUGGUACUUGUGCCUGAGGGGCAGAUUUUCUAUGUGUACCGGCACUAACUGUUUUUGAAAUUAUUUUGUAACUGUUGAAAAGACCAUUUUCAAAAGAAGUUCAAACUAAGCUAAGAGAAUUUCUAAAGAUUUCACAGUUUUUACUAUUUUCUCAAAGGAUUGUACACUGCUUCUAUGCACAUGUUGGUUGCUUUACGUAAUUUCUUCUGCUCAGUUAUUAUUUACCUUUAUUACUCACUAAGUUGGAGUACUCACUUUACUUCAUGCACCUCGUGUGCAGAUGCAGGUAUGUAUUUACCCGGUAGCGGGUAUUGGCUGUUUGGAGGCAGAGGUGUAGGAGUUUAGCAGAUCCCUUCUNNNNNNNNNNNNNNNNNNNNNNNNNUAUAUAUAUAUAUAUAUAUAUAUAUAUAUAUAAAACUAACUUUUGAAUUGAAUACAUGAUAUAAAGUUUUGUUUUAAAUGUUCAAUUGGAUAUCCUUCAUUCAAUGUGGCUAGGCUACAACUUACCGAUAUUUAAUUUUGAAGUACUCAUAAUGUGAUUUUUUUUAUAUAUUAAGAAUUACAAAAUAAUGUAUUUGAUUGGUAAUGUAAAAAAGGGAACAUAAUUAUAACUUUAUAGACUAUAUAUAUUAUAGGUGUCGAACGGGUUGGGUUGAUCCGGGACCGGCCCGGCUCGAUACUUAGGGGGCCGAGUAGGCUAGGUUACUGAGAUUAGGGGGUUGGUCCAUUCACUUUAAUUCCUCCGGUUAACCGGAUCGGUCAACCAAAAUUCAUGUAGAACCGUUUAACCGGCUCGGCCCAGGCCGAUUUAAAGGCUAGAUUUUUUUUUUAAAGCUUUGAGGGUCUAAGGCAGCAAAACCUUUGAAUUAACUUUUUUCGUUAAUUUACUUGUUAAAUGUAAACCUUUCAAUUUGUAAGUUUGAAUUUUGAAAUAAAUGUAACACUUGUAAUUUAUAAGUACAAUUUUUUCCCAUCUUCAUUGUAUUCUUUAUCUUAAUAUAACUUAAAUAGUCAAUUUAAAGUGCAAUUUUUUUCCCGUCGUCAUUGUAUUCUUUUUAUUUUUACUUUAUACUAAUAUAGAUUACAAUUGUUAUAUAAAAUACAAAUAAUAAUAAUAAUAAUAAUAUACUAACCCGGCCAGGUCCGACCCCUUGUACCCGUAACCUUUACGAUUUAUUUUUUACCCGGAUGAACCCGAACCCGUUAGCCCGUUAACCUCUAGCCCGUAACUGGUCCGGUUCGAAAUCCGGAUAAUUUCAACUUUUCCUUACCUAGCCCAGUCCGGCCCACCCAUUAGACACCCUUAAUAUAUAUUGUGAAAUUUUUUAUUUUGUCAAUCCAUAAAUCCUUAUUACAUAGAUACUAUGCUAGAAUUGUUAUCCGAUAAACUACUUCGUCACCAAAUAAAAGUUAUCGUAUAGCGGAGUUAUAUUUAAUGAGGUAAAAAACAAUUUAUCAAAUUAUUCAUGAAUUUUUCAGUAAUAAAUCGUAAGUUCAAUUACCAUAACUAGUAAACUUUAUUGAGGCUAACGUGGUAUAGUGAUCCAUUUAAUAUUUUUUUAUUUAUCAAUAUUGCAUGCUUAUUAAGACUUCAGGUGAAUUCUGAGGAACAUUGUUAGAGUUCAAUGAUUCUAUACUUGGCGCGCAACUUUUGGAAAAGCUGAAAGAUUCUUCUCUAGUGAUACCAAAUUUGAUAAGAAAUUCAAGUUUGUUUUCACUUAAUAAAAAACAUUAAUUUGAUAAGGUUUUUUCGCAUACAAACGGGGGACAUGACCUGAGGCUUGCGUAUUUAGCUGUAUAAAAGUAAGAAUUAACAAAGUAUGACGGUAAAUUUGAAGCAAAUGCGGCUUAGUAAAAAUAAUGCUCUAAAGCCAGAUUCCAAUAAGUAAAUUUUAAUUUUAAUAAAAUUUAGCUGAAUUUAGAGGGGCGGAAUGGAUUCAUCUUAACCCUUUCACCGAAAAAUCAUACUGUAUAUAUGAAGUAUAAUUUUUUAUUUUUUAUUUUUAUAUAUUAUAUUUAAACAUUUUUGAUAGAACCUAAAAGCAUAGGUUAGUGGUCAAGAAAAUUUAAUACAUUUGUGGUCACUUGUUUAAUUUUCACUAACCAUAAUUUUUUUUAAUUUUUAUCUUUUUUCUUUCUUGAUUUUCCUUAUAAAAAUCCUGCCUCCGCCAUUAAUCAUCAUCAUACUAUAUUAAAAGUUGAAAUUGAGUUACUAAAUCAUUAUCCAUCAAAAGCUAAAAGGCCAUUUGAUCGUUCCUUUAAAUACUACUCUUAUACAAGUUUUGUAUCAAAAACUAAAUAUCCAUUUCAAUAAAUGAUAAUAUCUACUAUAAAAGUAAAUUAAACUAUUUGCCGUGGAGGUCAAUUAUAUCUUCUUAUAUCUAAAAAGAUGGGGUUUCCCUUUUUCGUACUUAUUUGUUUACUAUUGUGGCUUAGUUAUUAUUCUUGUAUUUCUUACCCUUAGAUUUCUAUUAUUAAAUGUUGUUUCUCUUAUUUUAUUGCUGAUACUGCUUCUCUUUCAUGGUAUUUUUCGCUAUUGUAUUCUUUAAAGCUAUUAUGAUGGUUGUUUAGCUCAAAAGUUAUUGAUAUAUUUUGUAAGCUUUAGAAAAUAAUUAAAAAAUAAAUAAGGGUAAAUCGUAAUCAAAUAUAAUCUGACCUAAAAAUUAGAUACUGGAUAUUUGCCGUUCUAGAUCUCAAAGAAAGAGAAAAUAAACUUAACUUAAGAGAGAAGCAAUAGUUGGAGACAGAGAAAGAGAUAGAGAUAGAGAGAGAAGUUGUAUUAUUCGAUUGUAAUAAUAAUGAUGCAUGUUACAAUGUAGAGGUCUCCUUUAUAUAUAUGAGACCUCCCUCAAAAUAAUCAAAAAAGUACAAAAGUUGGUGGCUUCACUUAGUAAAGAAUUUAAGCUCUAAACGACGUUGCUUUUGCCAGGUCGCUCCCUUACUUGGGUCGAGUCUGCUUAUUGGGUGUACCCAUUAAUCAUGGGGCAUUGACGGCCAAAUUUGACCUCAUACAGUUAGUCCCUCCGUUCGUUGGAAACGUGCUCGAUGGACGCCUUCAAUAGACGGAUUCACAAGGCCCUUCCUAAGAGAAUUUGGUCGUAUCAUUGGUCUUUAACACGAAGUAAUGAAACAAAAACGCACGACACAGUUGAACCGUUGACGCAUGGUCUCUUUUUGGAAUGACAUCAUUAGUCGCAUGCGUCAUUAUUACUUUUUUCCCGAGGUAGCUCAGUUGGUGAUGUGAGUUUCUGGUUUCCCGCGCCUGUUCUGACCGUACCUUUUCGAUUUCCGCAUAAAUUUAUCCCAUAAAUAGGAGAA